RNAcentral lists this ribosomal RNA (433 nucleotides) under uncultured bacterium. Its description in RNAcentral is "partial 16S ribosomal RNA". It matches the Rfam family "Bacterial small subunit ribosomal RNA", at positions 29 to 507 of the family's 1533-position model. The record is from RNAcentral.
AACGAACGCUGGCGGCAUGCCUAACACAUGCAAGUCGAACGAGACCUUCGGGUCUAGUGGCGCACGGGUGCGUAACACGUGGGAAUCUGCCCUUUGCUUCGGAAUAACAGUUAGAAAUGACUGCUAAUACCGGAUGAUGUCGAAAGACCAAAGAUUUAUCGGCAAAGGAUGAGCCCGCGUAGGAUUAGGUAGUUGGUGGGGUAAAGGCCUACCAAGCCGACGAUCCUUAGCUGGUCUGAGAGGAUGAUCAGCCACACUGGGACUGAGACACGGCCCAGACUCCUACGGGAGGCAGCAGUGGGGAAUAUUGGAAAAUGGGCGAAAGCCUGAUCCAGCAAUGCCGCGUGAGUGAUGAAGGCCUUAGGGUUGUAAAGCUCUUUUACCAGGGAUGAUAAUGACAGUACCUGGAGAAUAAGCUCCGGCUAACUCCGUG